AUUAAAUACUACUUUUCUCGGUUCACCAAUGUGCACAUAGCAAGAGAGGCAGCCUAGCCCCUCAAUUAGUACAAUUAACCAUUAACUACAUUAAGACAUUGUAAUUAACAAUAACUUUACAAAGCUUUACAGAUUGUAGACUUUUCAUCAACCUAUCCCAAGCCAGAUCAUGUGAUUGCCUUGAUAUCAGAUCACCCAAAACCAAGCUAUAAUUGAUCCAGCAGCCAGACCAACAACAAGGAACAAAACAAUUACAAUUCCAGCAGUUUCUGCAUGCUGUAUUGGAACAACUUUAGGAGCUAACAUCAUCAGAACACUUGUCAAGUAGCCGUUCGAAAGACCCAAAAGACAAGUCAGGAUUGUUACUGGGAUCUCAGUUCGAAAGAAUUUGGGACCAUGCAAGCAGCCUAAGAAGAGAGGAAAAAAGAACAAUCUUGCAAAGCAACCACCAAUGGCAAGCUUUGCAUUCUCCAUCAUAUAGACUGCAGUCAAAGACUUGCCAACCAGAUCAAACACGUUGUAGCCAGUAAUGAGAACGAUCGAAUACCAAUCCUUGAGAGUCUCUGAGCGCACAUCCUCUGUUAUAUACCCAGGAAAUAUCGACAACGUCACAACAUAAAUAAGCAGGAUCCCAACCCCAUACCAUUUGAUGCUCCCAACAGUCUCCAACAAGGAUGAUCUCCACUGAGCCCCAGUUAGGGACCGCUUCUUCUUUUCCUCAUUCACAGCCUGAAUUUUCAAAUCUGUAUAGUACUUGAUCACAGGAAGGUGAUGCGCCACAUUGUAAAACAGAAUACAUAUGGCCAUAACCACAAUCCCAACAGCGAAAUAGAGAUUUGCACUUUUUCUGAGACCAUGUUCAUCUUGUGUAUAUGCAGCUUUGGUUAUGAUCCUUACAGAUGAAACCAGGACCCCCGAACCAGCAGUGCCAGCAACAACAGCCUGCAUAUACCUCUCAGGCAACUCCCCAGCUGCCCCAAUAAGCCCACCUUGGACCAACGCAUCCGCCACGCCGGAAAGCGCUAUCGCCGCGACUGUCACAUCAAACCCAUCAUCCAAGCCGACCCGACCCUUUAUAUAAACGGCAUCCAUAACCGGGACCACCAGCAGAGAUAAGACAAAGAGGGCCAGGCCAGCAUUUAUCCUAACAUAUGCAUCGGAUACAUGGGCACAAAAGACGAUCACCAAAAGGCAGCAGAGGCACACCAACAUGUAAGCGACGGCGAAUAUGCGGUCAACGGAUACGCCGGGAUAGAUAUAGGAGAAGUAAUCGACAGCGGUAAUGAAGGCGUUCCAUGGGAGGAGAAAGCCAAGGCCGAGAGUGAAGUAGGUUAUGUAGGCGAAGUGGAAAGUGUCUUUUGGAGCAUUUUGAGAGAUGGCAGGACUUGACGGGGCAGUGGUGGGUAGCAAGAGCGAGGAUUCGGAGUUGGGUUCGCCGUCGGUGGGUCUGCCGGUUAGACCCAUGGCAAGUCUGGUUCAGCAGAGUGGGUUUAGAUUCGGACUUUGGGUUAUUGGUGGUUGAUAAGAGAAAUUAGGCUGGUGGCGGAGAUUUGGGAAGAUUUUGAUUGGAUGCAAAACGACAGCGUCUCCACGCCUGCGUAUUGGAAUCUUUUCAAGAUCCAAUCUUUCCAGUAUUUAUAACUCAUUUGGGCCAUGAACAAAGGAUAUCAGAAGGCAAUGAGAUUCUCAUGUUCAUAAAUCUGUGCAAAUGUUUGCGUGCUCUUUUG
RNAcentral lists this unclassified non-coding RNA (1727 nucleotides) under Hevea brasiliensis (rubber tree). The record is from RNAcentral. Lineage: Eukaryota; Viridiplantae; Streptophyta; Magnoliopsida; Malpighiales; Euphorbiaceae.